This is a non-coding RNA of Coturnix japonica (Japanese quail), 295 nucleotides long. The record is from RefSeq and is a predicted model, not a curated record. NCBI's taxonomy places the organism in Eukaryota, Metazoa, Chordata, Aves, Galliformes, Phasianidae.
ACACAGAUGAAGGACAUCAGAAAUCCACACCAUCUCCCACCCUACGAGGAGCAAUAUUUCAGCAUUCAGGAAAGAGAUGAGCAGAGAAGAGACAAAAAGGGAGGGACAAAAAGAACAGGACAACACCAGUAUUAGACAGCCGGAGACCUGAAGCAAAACAGCAGACUAAAACAGGAAACGCUUCCUUCCAACAUCUGAAGAGAAAGCUACAAUAACGGGCAUCCCCAGCAGUAAUAAUGGGGAUCCCACCUUGCUCUGUGCUCCUGGAUACCUCCUGUGGGGUCACUACCAAAAG